RNAcentral lists this ribosomal RNA (517 nucleotides) under uncultured Glomeraceae. Its description in RNAcentral is "SSU rRNA". It matches the Rfam family "Eukaryotic small subunit ribosomal RNA", at positions 569 to 1086 of the family's 1831-position model. The record is from RNAcentral. Lineage: Eukaryota; Fungi; Glomeromycota; Glomeromycetes; Glomerales; Glomeraceae.
AGCAGCCGCGGUAAUUCCAGCUCCAAUAGCGUAUAUUAAAGUUGUUGCAGUUAAAAAGCUCGUAGUUGAAUUUCGGGAUCAAGGAAUCGGUCAUGCCUCGGUAUGUACUGGUUUUAUUGGUUCUCACCUUCUAAAGAACCAUAAUGUCAUUCAUUUGACGUUAUGGGGAAUUAGGACUGUUACCUUGAAAAAAUUAGAGUGUUUAAAGCAGGCUUACGCUUGAAUACAUUAGCAUGGAAUAAUGAAAUAGGACAUCAGAUUCUAUUUUGUUGGUUUCUAGGAUCGAUGUAAUGAUUAAUAGGGAUAGUUGGGGGCAUUAGUAUUCAAUUGUCAGAGGUGAAAUUCUUGGAUUUAUUGAAGACUAACUACUGCGAAAGCAUUUGCCAAGGAUGUUUUCAUUAAUCAAGAACGAAAGUUAAGGGGAGUCGAAGACGAUCAGAUACCGUCGUAGUCUUAACCUACUAAACUAAUGCCGACUAGGGAGUCGGUAUGAUGUUAAUUUUAAUUAAUAGACUCA